This is a non-coding RNA of Monodelphis domestica (gray short-tailed opossum), 790 nucleotides long. NCBI's taxonomy places the organism in Eukaryota, Metazoa, Chordata, Mammalia, Didelphimorphia, Didelphidae. The record is from RefSeq and is a predicted model, not a curated record.
GAGGGAGUGGGACAUCUGUAAGGGCAUGGUACCCAGGAAAGGCAUGGAGGAGGUAGAGUCUGAAGGAGAGCUAACACUCAGGUUAUAGCUUUUACCACCUAUGGAAGUUCAGACUGGUCAUUCAAGACAUUUCUCACUACAGAGGCACAAACAAUUUUCAUUCUACUGCGGAAAUCAUUUCUCAGAUGGGGCAAGGCCAGAGAAACCUGAAUUACUGAUAAAAAAAAUUGACACUCUACACAAAGCAGUGAGAAAUUGAAGGCCUUGCUGAUAGCUCUGAAAUUAUUUUUUCCCUAAUUUCAAAAUCCAACUCAGAUGCAUAACACAAGAAGAGAGAGAAACUUUGUCAGCAGAAUAUAUGUAUGUCCUAGUGAGUCAAGGUCAUAGAAACAUCUGUACCUGGAUCUCCCUUUUCUCCCUUGGGACCUUGUUUGCCAUCUAUUCCUUCUCUUCCAGGCAAUCCUCUUUCUCCAGGUUCACACACGAUGAGGGUACAAGCCCCUGAGCUUUCUUUUUCGUUGGAGGGUGUUGUCACUUCAUCUUGAGCAGCCAGUGGGCUUAUGAAGAGGAUCAGUGCAGAGAGAUAGAGGAGGAGCAUGAUUCUUGUCUCUGAACCACAAUGAGAAGAGGGUUAAUUCAACUCACUGCUUGUUGCAGGACAUGGGGAAGGACCAAUUACAGUGUAUGGCCAGAGAUUGUGUUCUUCAUUUUUUGCUAAGGAGUGUGGUCACUCACUUGGGAAAUAUGAGCAAUAAAGUUUUGCUGGGAGGCAUUUGUUGAUCAUCAAGAA